This 1650-nucleotide ribosomal RNA is filed under the name Lactobacillaceae bacterium. RNAcentral describes it as "bacterial SSU rRNA". The stretch from base 1 to 1462 matches the Rfam family "Bacterial small subunit ribosomal RNA". Lineage: Bacteria; Bacillati; Bacillota; Bacilli; Lactobacillales; Lactobacillaceae. The record is from RNAcentral.
GCGAAUUACAGUAGCCAGUGUACAUAUCCUGUCGAACGACACUUCCGUUAAUUGUAUUAUGACGUACUUGUACUGAUUGAGAUUUUAACACGAAGUGAGUGGCGAACGGGUGAGUAACACGUGGGUAACCUGCCCAGAAGUAGGGGAUAACACCUGGAAACAGAUGCUAAUACCGUAUAACAGAGAAAACCGCAUGGUUUUCUUUUAAAAGAUGGCUCUGCUAUCACUUCUGGAUGGACCCGCGGCGUAUUAGCUAGUUGGUGAGGUAAAGGCUCACCAAGGCAGUGAUACGUAGCCGACCUGAGAGGGUAAUCGGCCACAUUGGGACUGAGACACGGCCCAGACUCCUACGGGAGGCAGCAGUAGGGAAUCUUCCACAAUGGACGCAAGUCUGAUGGAGCAACGCCGCGUGAGUGAAGAAGGGUUUCGGCUCGUAAAGCUCUGUUGUUAAAGAAGAACGUGGGUAAGAGUAACUGUUUACCCAGUGACGGUAUUUAACCAGAAAGCCACGGCUAACUACGUGCCAGCAGCCGCGGUAAUACGUAGGUGGCAAGCGUUAUCCGGAUUUAUUGGGCGUAAAGCGAGCGCAGGCGGUCUUUUAAGUCUAAUGUGAAAGCCUUCGGCUCAACCGAAGAAGUGCAUUGGAAACUGGGAGACUUGAGUGCAGAAGAGGACAGUGGAACUCCAUGUGUAGCGGUGAAAUGCGUAGAUAUAUGGAAGAACACCAGUGGCGAAGGCGGCUGUCUGGUCUGCAACUGACGCUGAGGCUCGAAAGCAUGGGUAGCGAACAGGAUUAGAUACCCUGGUAGUCCAUGCCGUAAACGAUGAUUACUAAGUGUUGGAGGGUUUCCGCCCUUCAGUGCUGCAGCUAACGCAUUAAGUAAUCCGCCUGGGGAGUACGACCGCAAGGUUGAAACUCAAAAGAAUUGACGGGGGCCCGCACAAGCGGUGGAGCAUGUGGUUUAAUUCGAAGCUACGCGAAGAACCUUACCAGGUCUUGACAUCUUCUGACAGUCUAAGAGAUUAGAGGUUCCCUUCGGGGACAGAAUGACAGGUGGUGCAUGGUUGUCGUCAGCUCGUGUCGUGAGAUGUUGGGUUAAGUCCCGCAACGAGCGCAACCCUUAUUACUAGUUGCCAGCAUUAAGUUGGGCACUCUAGUGAGACUGCCGGUGACAAACCGAAGGAAGGUGGGGACGACGUCAAAUCAUCAUGCCCCUUAUGACCUGGGCUACCACCUGGCUACAAUGGAAUGGUACAACGAAUCCCGAGAACCGCGAGGUUAAGCUAAUCUCUUAAAACCUUCUCCAUUUCGGAAUGUAGGGUGGAAUUCGCCUAACCAAAAUCGAAAAUCCUAAUAAUCCGGAAUAAAUUGCCCGGGGGAAAAAUUUCCCGGGCUUGUACCCCCCCCCCCCACCCCUCGAAGAUGUUUACCCCACAACGCCGUGGGGGUACCUUUUAGAAUAACCCCCUAGGGGGGCGAAAGAUUAAGUGAAGGCCCAAGGCUAAGCCCCAAACCGGCCGGGUCGGCGGCUCCUUUCUGUGUAGAUUUAUCCAAGGAAGGGUUUUUGUGUUAAUACCCUUUAAAAUCAAAAUCCUUAACCCUAAAUUAACCGCCCUUAACCCUAACCUUAAGCCCUCCCCUAAACACUU